RNAcentral lists this ribosomal RNA (526 nucleotides) under uncultured bacterium. RNAcentral describes it as "partial 16S ribosomal RNA". It matches the Rfam family "Bacterial small subunit ribosomal RNA", at positions 356 to 898 of the family's 1533-position model. The record is from RNAcentral.
GGGGAAUAUUGCACAAUGGGCGAAAGCCUGAUGCAGCAACGCCGCGUGAGUGAUGAAGGUCUUCGGAUUGUAAAGCUCUGUCUUUUGGGACGAUAAUGACGGUACCAAAGGAGGAAGCCACGGCUAACUACGUGCCAGCAGCCGCGGUAAUACGUAGGUGGCGAGCGUUGUCCGGAUUUACUGGGCGUAAAGGGUGCGUAGGCGGAUGUUUAAGUGAGAUGUGAAAUACCCGGGCUUAACUUGGGUGCUGCAUUUCAAACUGGAUAUCUAGAGUGCAGGAGAGGAGAAUGGAAUUCCUAGUGUAGCGGUGAAAUGCGUAGAGAUUAGGAAGAACACCAGUGGCGAAGGCGAUUCUCUGGACUGUAACUGACGCUGAGGCACGAAAGCGUGGGUAGCAAACAGGAUUAGAUACCCUGGUAGUCCACGCCGUAAACGAUGAGUACUAGGUGUAGGAGGUAUCGACCCCUUCUGUGCCGCAGUAAACACAUUAAGUACUCCGCCUGGGAAGUACGAUCGCAAGAUUAAA